ACAAAAUGUAGCUUAAUAUAAAGCACCUCGCUUACACCGAAAACAUGUCUGUUCAACCCAGAUCAUUUUGA
This 71-nucleotide transfer RNA is filed under the name Kaloula picta. Its description in RNAcentral is "tRNA-Val". It matches the Rfam family "tRNA". From Rfam's summary of the family: Transfer RNA (tRNA) molecules are approximately 80 nucleotides in length. Their secondary structure includes four short double-helical elements and three loops (D, anti-codon, and T loops). The record is from RNAcentral. Lineage: Eukaryota; Metazoa; Chordata; Amphibia; Anura; Microhylidae.